This 336-nucleotide unclassified non-coding RNA is filed under the name soil metagenome. RNAcentral's name for it is "partial contains 5.8S ribosomal RNA, internal transcribed spacer 2, and large subunit ribosomal RNA". The stretch from base 1 to 120 matches the Rfam family "5.8S ribosomal RNA", at positions 35 to 154 of the family's 154-position model. The record is from RNAcentral.
GAUGAAGAACGUAGCGAAAUGCGAUAAGUAGUGUGAAUUGCAGAAUUCAGUGAAUCAUCGAAUCUUUGAACGCACAUUGCGCCCCUUGGUAUUCCAUGGGGCAUGCCUGUUCGAGCGUCAUUUCAACCAUCAAGCCCCCGGCUUGUGUUGGGGACCUGCGGCUGCCGCAGGCCCUGAAAACCAGUGGCGGGCUCGCUGUCACACCGAGCGUAGUAGAUUUUCAUCUCGCUCAGGGCGUGCUGCGGGUUCCGGCCGUAAAAAGCCUUAUUUACCCAAGGUUGACCUCGGAUCAGGUAGGAAGACCCGCUGAACUUAAGCAUAUCAAUAAGCGGAGGA